RNAcentral lists this ribosomal RNA (497 nucleotides) under uncultured bacterium. Its description in RNAcentral is "partial 16S ribosomal RNA". It matches the Rfam family "Bacterial small subunit ribosomal RNA", at positions 28 to 507 of the family's 1533-position model. The record is from RNAcentral.
GACGAACGCUGGCGGCGUGCCUAAUACAUGCAAGUUGAGCGCUGAAGGUUGGUACUUGUACCAACUGGAUGAGCAGCGAACGGGUGAGUAACGCGUGGGGAAUCUGCCUUUGAGCGGGGGACAACAGUUGGAAACGAAUGCUAAUACCGCAUAAAAACUUUAAACACAAGUUUUAAGUUUGAAAGAUGCAAUUGCAUCACUCAAAGAUGAUCCCGCGUUGUAUUAGCUAGUUGGGGAGGUAAAGGCUAACCAAGGCGAUGAUACAUAGCCGACCUGAGAGGGUGAUCGGCCAAAUUGGGACUGAGACAAGGCCCAAACUCCUACGGGAGGCAGCAGUAGGGAAUCUUCGGCAAUGGACGAAAGUCUGACCGAGCAACGCCGCGUGAGUGAAGAAGGGUUUCGGAUCGUAAAACUCUGUUGGUAGAGAAGAACGUUGGUGAGAGUGGAAAGCUCAUCAAGUGACGGUAACUACCCAGAAAGGGACGGCUAACUACGUG